Molecule: ribosomal RNA, 204 nt
Filed under: uncultured bacterium
Lineage: Bacteria
Description: partial 16S ribosomal RNA
Rfam family: Bacterial small subunit ribosomal RNA
Source: RNAcentral
UACAGAGGGUGCGAGCGUUUAAUCGGAAUUACUGGGCGUAAAGCGUGCGUAGACGGUUCUGUAAGUCGGAUGUGAAAUCCCCGGGCUCAACCUGGGAAUUGCAUUCGAGACUGCAAAGCUUGGGUGCGGAAGAGGGAAGCGGAAUUUCCGGUGUAGCGGUGAAAUGCGUAGAUAUCGGAAGGAACAUCAGUGGCGAAAAGCGGC